GAUGAACGCUGGCGGCGUGCCUAAUACAUGCAAGUCGAGCGAACAGACGAGGAGCUUGCUCCUCUGACGUUAGCGGCGGACGGGUGAGUAACACGUGGAUAACCUACCUAUAAGACUGGGAUAACUUCGGGAAACCGGAGCUAAUACCGGAUAAUAUAUUGAACCGCAUGGUUCAAUAGUGAAAGACGGUUUUGCUGUCACUUAUAGAUGGAUCCGCGCCGCAUUAGCUAGUUGGUAAGGUAACGGCUUACCAAGGCAAAGAUGCGUAGCCGACCUGAGAGAGUGGUCGGCCACACUGGAACUGAGACACGGUCCAGACUCCUACGGGAGGCAGCAGUAGGGAAUCUUCCGCAAUGGGCGAAAGCCUGACGGAGCAACGCCGCGUGAGUGAUGAGGGUCUUCGGAUCGUAAAACUCUGUUAUUAGGGAAGAACAAAUGUGUAAGUAACUAUGCACGUCUUGACGGUACCUAAUCAGAAAGCCACGGCUAACUACGUG
RNAcentral lists this ribosomal RNA (497 nucleotides) under uncultured bacterium. RNAcentral describes it as "partial 16S ribosomal RNA". It matches the Rfam family "Bacterial small subunit ribosomal RNA", at positions 28 to 507 of the family's 1533-position model. The record is from RNAcentral.